This 484-nucleotide ribosomal RNA is filed under the name uncultured bacterium. RNAcentral's name for it is "partial 16S ribosomal RNA". It matches the Rfam family "Bacterial small subunit ribosomal RNA", at positions 30 to 507 of the family's 1533-position model. The record is from RNAcentral.
ACUGAACGCUGGCGGCAGGCCUAACACAUGCAAGUCGAGCGGAUGAAGGGAGCUUGCUCCUGGAUUCAGCGGCGGACGGGUGAGUAAUGCCUAGGAAUCUGCCUGGUAGUGGGGGAUAACGUCCGGAAACGGGCGCUAAUACCGCAUACGUCCUGAGGGAGAAAGUGGGGGAUCUUCGGACCUCACGCUAUCAGAUGAGCCUAGGUCGGAUUAGCUAGUUGGUGGGGUAAAGGCCUACCAAGGCGACGAUCCGUAACUGGUCUGAGAGGAUGAUCAGUCACACUGGAUCUGAGACACGGUCCAGACUCCUACGGGAGGCAGCAGUCGGGAAUAUUGGACAAUGGGCGAAAGCCUGAUCCAGCCAUGCCGCGUGUGUGAAGAAGGUCUUCGGAUUGUAAAGCACUUUAAGUUGGGAGGAAGGGCAGUAAGUUAAUACCUUGCUGUUUUGACGUUACCAACAGAAUAAGCACCGGCUAACUUCGUG